UCGCCGCCCGUGACUCGGCGAGAAGUCCAUUGAACCUUAUCAUUUAAAGGAAGGAGAAGUCGUAACAAGGUUUCCGUAGGUGAACCUGCGGAAGGAUCAUUG
This 102-nucleotide ribosomal RNA is filed under the name Comparettia gentryi. RNAcentral describes it as "partial 18S ribosomal RNA". It matches the Rfam family "Eukaryotic small subunit ribosomal RNA", at positions 1730 to 1831 of the family's 1831-position model. The record is from RNAcentral. Lineage: Eukaryota; Viridiplantae; Streptophyta; Magnoliopsida; Asparagales; Orchidaceae.